CUGUUGCUUCGGCGGGUAGGGUCUCCGCGACCCUCCCGGCCUCCCGCCUCCGGGCGGGUCGGCGCCCGCCGGAGGAUAACCAAACUCUGAUUUAACGACGUUUCUUCUGAGUGGUACAAGCAAAUAAUCAAAACUUUUAACAACGGAUCUCUUGGUUCUGGCAUCGAUGAAGAACGCAGCGAAAUGCGAUAAGUAAUGUGAAUUGCAGAAUUCAGUGAAUCAUCGAAUCUUUGAACGCACAUUGCGCCCGCCAGCAUUCUGGCGGGCAUGCCUGUUCGAGCGUCAUUUCAACCCUCAAGCUCUGCUUGGUGUUGGGGCCCUACAGCUGAUGUAGGCCCUCAAAGGUAGUGGCGGACCCUCUCGGAGCCUCCUUUGCGUAGUAACUUUACGUCUCGCACUGGGAUCCGGAGGGACUCUUGCCGUAAAACCCCCAAUUUUCCAAAGGUUGACCCUCGGAUCAGGUAAGAAUACCCGCUGAACUUAAGCAUAUCAA
Molecule: ribosomal RNA, 493 nt
Filed under: Colletotrichum gloeosporioides
Lineage: Eukaryota; Fungi; Ascomycota; Sordariomycetes; Glomerellales; Glomerellaceae
Description: eukaryotic LSU rRNA
Rfam family: 5.8S ribosomal RNA (bases 132-285)
Source: RNAcentral